UAUUUCCAUGGGAUUACAACUUUCCCAUCUCUCUUCUUUGAAAAUUACAAUCAAACAAGAGGCAUCUCAUUACUUUCCCGUUGACCACAAUUUCCUCCCUUUUUUUUCCCGCGAACCAAAUGAGCUCUUCAUGGGAAAGUCUUUCCCAUGAGAAACAUGGAAAAAUUACUUUCUCAUAAGGCGGAAUCACUUCAUUUUUAUUUUUUUCCAAAAAGGCCAUUCAGCAUUAAAGAAGUAUUAAAAAGGCAUUAAAGAUCUAAUUUUUAUUAAGGGCAUAAUAGAAAUUAUAUAUAACUUUCUCAGGAAAGUGGAUGAUUGGUCAACCAAACAUAAGCAUUUUGUAAAUUUGUCA
RNAcentral lists this long non-coding RNA (352 nucleotides) under Phoenix dactylifera (date palm). RNAcentral's name for it is "long non-coding RNA (PDAC_LNC007224)". The record is from RNAcentral. Lineage: Eukaryota; Viridiplantae; Streptophyta; Magnoliopsida; Arecales; Arecaceae.